Molecule: microRNA, 23 nt
Filed under: Corchorus capsularis
Lineage: Eukaryota; Viridiplantae; Streptophyta; Magnoliopsida; Malvales; Malvaceae
Description: sRNA CCACVL1_24821
Source: RNAcentral
CUCCCUCCGUUCCAAAUUGAAUG